ACAAUGUAGUAAAUGGCUUAUUGUGCAUUAUGUCUAGGUGGUGAGCAUUCUAGCAAAAGUAAAGAGAUAGUACCCGAGGAAUCAAGAAUCGGAGUACUUGGAAUUCGACUCCCGAAAUCGUGAGUAACCUUACUAUCAUCUUAAUUAUCUAGAGUAGUUUUUAUCCGAAUUUGUGAUUUUAUGGAAAAUGAGUUUAAAUGAUUAAUUUUUCAGUUUUAUAAACAAAAUGUGAUUUAAUGAAAUAAUUUCAUAAAAUUGUUUUAAAAUUGAAUGAUGGCUUUUCAAAGAGAGUAAUUGGAGACCAUUUGAUGUAUUGUGAAUUUAUGGUUCUAAUUGAUUGGCUUAUGACAAUAUUGGCAUGAAUGGCUGAAUUGGUAUUUGUGUUGAAAUGUAUAAACUAUUGUUUGCUUUGAUAGGCUGGAUAAUGAUAAAAUUGCCAUGUCAUGCUGCUGAAUUUUUAUUGUAUGGUGGGAUAUUGAUUAGCUUACUACAGUGGGCAGGUUUUCGUGGACCAGCCUAUUAGAGGGGCACGGUAAACCCCGUUAUAUCUUACCUCAGUAUGAGAGGCGCGAGUGGAUAACUCCUGAGGUUAACACUUUAGUGUUCACUUCACGCCAAACCACCUCAUGAUGAUGAACUCCGCUAACGCCAAGGAAUGGCUAUGUUUUUAAAAUAAAAACAUGAUUUAUGCGUACAUAACUUUUUACCAGCCUUGGCGAACUCGGUUGGGAUAGCCCUUGAUCAAGGCAUCCCUGAUAACUGGGUAUGAAAAUGAUUUUUAGCACGAGCCAAAGUUUUAAUAAAUUCAUAAGCCAUGUUGAUUACUUGAUUUAUAUGAAUUGAUUUUAUUUGAUUGAAAUGAGUUGAAAGGUGAUGAAUUAUAGUAUAUUAAACUAUUUUGUCUGUCUCCAUUUACUCGACUUUAGAUAUUUUAGAUGGUAUCUGUUUACUCACUAAGAUUAUAUAAUAUCACCACCUUCCUUUCCACCCAUUUCAGGCUCAGAAUAGAUUGUAGAUAACUGAUAUCGUCGAGGACUACAGUUGGAUUUGCCACAUCCAAAAACUGUAGGUUCAUUUCUUUUGAUACUUUUAGUCAUUCAUGGGCUCACGUGUCACUGUAAAUUAAAUUUUAUACUUUGGUUAUCUGUAUUACAAUAUAUAUGAAUUUAUUUUGCUUUUACGCUGUAAAAAAAUUAUUUAUGCAGUGUUCUAAAAAUAUUAUUUUAUGAAAAAAUUGAAUAUUUUAUUCAAUAUUUUCAUUUUAUUCUAAUAAUCAUAAUUUUAUUUUAAAUGAAGGUUUUAGAUGUUUAAACUUAUUUUUCAUCAUGAAUUAUGUGUUUUAUACUUGCAUACUACAUUUUUAGCUAGUUUCGAAAUUUUUAGAAAAAAUGACCAAAAUACCCCUAUGUAGUUGUAAUUUCUCUUUGACUGUUUUUUGAACUGAAAUUGGUUCAUAUCACUUUAAAACAUGAUUUUAGUAACUAAUACUCACAGGGGAAGCGAGAAAAACUAAUGUUAAGCCUUGCGAGGUUUCAAUUAACAUUUCGGAUAAUGAAUGUCUAUCGGGACGUCACGGUAGUUGUCACGGGCUCGUUGGGAGUUCCGUGUCGUGACAAAAUGUGUGCCGGGGAACAAGCCCUUGAUAAAAUGUUUUGAUGUUGUGAAAAUGUGAAAUGUGUAAAAGGACGAACCUAUGUGCUCCUAUGUUAUGUUGAUAUAUAUAUAUACGAAUAAUGUUGUGUAAUGAUAUUGACCUGGCUAUGUGUGAGUAGGAGUUCGCAAAAGUCGAUGAUGACCCAGCUAAGUGUGAAUGGGAGUGUACAUAAGCCGAUGAUGACCGAGUAUGUGUGAGUAGGAGUGCGCAUAAGCCGUUGAUGACCCAGCCAUGUGCUAGUAGGGAGUGCAUAUGAGCUAAUGAUGAUGGGAUGGUGUGCAUGAUGAUGGAUAUAUAUAUAUAUAUAUACAAACAUAGAUAUGUGUGUUAUAGAAAGUUCAUGAGUAUGGUAUAUGGUUUUAUACAUGUGAAUCUUGCAUGUUGAACUUUAGAAAUUUCUAAACAUGUUCAAGUUGAUUUUGUCUUUAUAGCUAAAUGGCCAUCUCUUGAGGGAAUGAAAACUUGUUGUUGAUGUCCUGUUUCUCACUACAGCGAGAUUCAUUCUCGCUGAAGCGAAAAACUCUCUGGUUUGGAGGGUUUUGUUGGCCUGAUUCUCACUACAGCGAGAAAGUUGCUAAAGCUUCUCGCUGCAGCGAUAAACUAUGUUUAUAGCUUGAAUUUCACUACAGCGAGAAACUUUCUGUCUUGCUUAGUAUCUUGUUCGAUUGCUGCCCUGUUUUCCACGUCCUUGGUACCAUAGUUGAGUAUGGACUUCCAACAUUAAGGAAUUAAUGAAUUAAAUUUGAAAUGAGGAGGUUUGGUGAGAAACCCUCUGCCAGCUAAGAAACCUUCGGCUAAUGAAUAAUGGGAGUCCAAUUUUGCUGCAACGAUAAUGCCUUUCCACUGCAGCGAGGACUCGUUGUUUGCUUGACUUGAUUUGCAUGAAUGCUAUUAAAGUUUUCACUCUUCAAAUCCUUUGUUGAGCAUGGACCUUUUUCAUCAAGUGAUUUACUCAUUUAGGGUUUACAUGAGGGGUUUUAAUAAGAAUGAAACUAAAUUGCAUUGUUUUGAAAAUAAAUGCAUUAUGAUUUGUUUAAACUUUCCUUCUUGAUUACUUGUUCUCUUCUUAUGUUCACUCACUGAGUUUAUACUUACCGUUUUCAACUUCAUGUUUUCAG
RNAcentral lists this long non-coding RNA (2772 nucleotides) under Theobroma cacao (cacao). RNAcentral's name for it is "long non-coding RNA (TCAC_LNC003952)". Lineage: Eukaryota; Viridiplantae; Streptophyta; Magnoliopsida; Malvales; Malvaceae. The record is from RNAcentral.